RNAcentral lists this unclassified non-coding RNA (266 nucleotides) under uncultured fungus. RNAcentral describes it as "sequence contains ITS1". Lineage: Eukaryota; Fungi. The record is from RNAcentral.
GUAUAGAUUUAAAGGCAGUUAAGCCCAUUAAUGACAUUCUAAAACAUGUGUAGGGGUAUAUAAAAACAUAGACCGGAGGUACAAGGAAAGCUGGCUUUGCGCACAGCAGUCCUCAAACCGAGUUUCCUCGAGAGUUUAUCCAGGUCUACAGAAGGUGCACAGGUGGUAAAAAGUUUGGUGUUAGGCGUGCACAUGCUCCUGAGAGCCAGCAACAACCCAACCAAGCUUAUUCAAUAAUGAUCCUUCCGCAGGUUCACCUACGGAAA